ACUGAAUAAAAUGCAUGAAACAAAGAUAAGAAAAAGUAAUUCCUUAAAAACUAGAAAAACAAUGAAAAUGAAAACAAAAAAUAAUAAAAUAAAAUAAAAACAUAAUCAGAACAUGAACAUGAUUCAUUCGUGAAGCAUAUAUGAAAUGAAACUUAUAAUCACACCAAUAGUUAUCAUAAUGGAGAAACCACUGCUUUGACUGUUGUUAGAGCCCCCAGAAUCAAAUUUAAAGUCAUCUUCACUGUGGGAGUCACUGCUGCCGCCGAAAUCAUAUUCAAAGUCAUCUUCAUAGCUAUAUUCUUCAUUGUUGCCAUCGGAGCCACCGUAAUAAUAUUCAUAGUCAUCUUCACUACUGUCACUGAUGUACUCUUCCAUUUCCUGAGAGUCUUUUUACUGAAUUUAUUAGGCUUUUUUGUAUGAAAACCUAUAUUGAUACAGUUUCUAAAACAAACUAAUACCUAGCUCAUCUUGGUUUUAAAUUAGACUCCACAACGUUAUUAAGCUGCAAUGAACAAGGUCUUUUGACUCGCCACAACCGAAACAUUACUGUGGUUGCAACCAUCAACUCUACUUAACUCUUUUUCUUACAAUAUUGUUCUUGAAAAAAUUGCAGGCACAAUUUAGAACUAUGUAUUCUCUACUGUAUCAUCAAUCUACAAAUGAAUAUAGAAGAUUAAAAGAAUGAGUUAGUACAAGGGGAUGUACGCACCUUACGCCCGGAAAGAGAAAUUUUGUCUUCAAAAUGAGAGAUCAAAUGACUUUUUCUUUUAAAGAGAGAAGUGAAUGUAGAAUUUGAAAAGACCAGGUGCCGCCUUAGUUCAUAAUUGUUUCUCUUAG
RNAcentral lists this long non-coding RNA (837 nucleotides) under Vigna radiata. RNAcentral describes it as "long non-coding RNA (VRAD_LNC010546)". The record is from RNAcentral. Lineage: Eukaryota; Viridiplantae; Streptophyta; Magnoliopsida; Fabales; Fabaceae.